UACGUAGGGUGCAAGCGUUGUCCGGAAUUAUUGGGCGUAAAGAGCUCGUAGGCGGUUCGGUAAGUCGGGUGUGAAAACUCUGGGCUCAACCCAGAGCCGCCACCCGAUACUGCUGUGACUUGAGUUCGGUAGGGGAGCGGGGAAUUCCUGGUGUAGCGGUGAAAUGCGCAGAUAUCAGGAGGAACACCAGUGGCGAAGGCGCCGCUCUGGGCCGAGACUGACGCUGAGGAGCGAAAGCGUGGGUAGCAAACAGG
RNAcentral lists this ribosomal RNA (254 nucleotides) under uncultured bacterium. RNAcentral describes it as "partial 16S ribosomal RNA". It matches the Rfam family "Bacterial small subunit ribosomal RNA", at positions 524 to 776 of the family's 1533-position model. The record is from RNAcentral.